Pteropus vampyrus (large flying fox) is the source of this 129-nucleotide ribosomal RNA. NCBI's taxonomy places the organism in Eukaryota, Metazoa, Chordata, Mammalia, Chiroptera, Pteropodidae. The record is from Ensembl.
GUCUAUGCCUAUGCCACCCUAAACAAUCCUGAUCCCUUCCGAUCCCAUCUGAUCUAAGAAGCUAAGCAGGGUCGGGCCUGGUUAGUACUUGGAUAGGAAACCACCAAGGAACAUCAGGUGCUUGAGACA